This 343-nucleotide unclassified non-coding RNA is filed under the name soil metagenome. RNAcentral's name for it is "partial contains 5.8S ribosomal RNA, internal transcribed spacer 2, and large subunit ribosomal RNA". The stretch from base 1 to 120 matches the Rfam family "5.8S ribosomal RNA", at positions 35 to 154 of the family's 154-position model. The record is from RNAcentral.
GAUGAGGAACGCAGCGAAAUGCGAUAAGUAAUGUGAAUUGCAGAAUUCAGUGAAUCAUCGAAUCUUUGAACGCACAUUGCGCCCGCUAGUAUUCUGGCGGGCAUGCCUGUCCGAGCGUCAUUUCAACCCUCAAGCCCCCGGGCUUGGUGUUGGGGAUCGGCGAGCCUCCGCGCCCGCCGUCCCCUAAAUCUAGUGGCGGUCUCGCUGUAGCUUCCUCUGCGUAGUAGCACACCUCGCACUGGGAAACAGCGCGGCCACGCCGUUAAACCCCCAACUUCUGAACGUUUGACCUCGGAUCAGGUAGGAAUACCCGCUGAACUUAAGCAUAUCAAUAAGCGGAGGA